RNAcentral lists this ribosomal RNA (253 nucleotides) under uncultured bacterium. Its description in RNAcentral is "partial 16S ribosomal RNA". It matches the Rfam family "Bacterial small subunit ribosomal RNA", at positions 524 to 776 of the family's 1533-position model. The record is from RNAcentral.
UACAGAGGGUGCGAGCGUUGUCCGGAAUCACGGGGCGUAAAGGGCGCGUAGGCGGUCUCUUAAGCGUGUGGUGAAAGCCCGGGGCUCAACUCCGGGUCGGCCGUGCGAACUGGGGGACUGGAGCUUGUCAGAGGCAGGCGGAAUUCCGGGUGUAGCGGUGGAAUGCGUAGAGAUCCGGAAGAACACCGGUGGCGAAGGCGGCCUGCUGGGACAGUGCUGACGCUGAGGCGCGACAGCGUGGGGAGCAAACAGG